CAAUAGCGUAUAUUAAAGUUGUUGCAGUUAAAAAGCUCGUAGUUGGAUUUCUGGUGGGAGCGAUCGGUCUGGCGCUUAGCGCGAGUACUUGCAUCGUCUCCGGCCAUCCUUGGGGAGAGUCUGUCUGGCAUUAAGUUGUCGGGCAGAGGAUCCUCAUCGUUUACUGUGAAAAAUUAGAGUGUUCAAAGCAGGCUUAUGCCGUUGAAUAUAUUAGCAUGGAAUAAUAAGAUAGGACUUUGGUACUAUUUUGUUGGUUUGCGCACCAAAGUAAUGAUUAAUAGGGACAGUUGGGGGUAUUCGUAUUCCGUUGUCAGAGGUGAAAUUCUUGGAUUUACGGAAGACGAACUACUGCGAAAGCAUUUACCAAGGAUGUUUUCAUUAA
RNAcentral lists this ribosomal RNA (382 nucleotides) under uncultured eukaryote. RNAcentral's name for it is "partial 18S ribosomal RNA". It matches the Rfam family "Eukaryotic small subunit ribosomal RNA", at positions 592 to 976 of the family's 1831-position model. The record is from RNAcentral.